RNAcentral lists this ribosomal RNA (396 nucleotides) under uncultured bacterium. RNAcentral's name for it is "partial 16S ribosomal RNA". It matches the Rfam family "Bacterial small subunit ribosomal RNA", at positions 523 to 917 of the family's 1533-position model. The record is from RNAcentral.
AUACGUAGGGGGCGAGCGUUGUCCGGAAUGAUUGGGCGUAAAGGGCGCGUAGGCGGCCCGGUAAGUCUGGAGUGAAAGUCCUGUUUUUAAGAUGGGAAUUGCUUUGGAUACUGUCGGGCUUGAGUGCAGGAGAGGUAAGUGGAAUUCCCAGUGUAGCGGUGAAAUGCGUAGAGAUUGGGAGGAACACCAGUGGCGAAGGCGACUUACUGGACUGUAACUGACGCUGAGGCGCGAAAGUGUGGGGAGCAAACAGGAUUAGAUACCCUGGUAGUCCACACUGUAAACGAUGAAUGCUAGGUGUAGGGGGUAUCGACCCCUUCUGUGCCGCAGUCAACACAAUAAGCAUUCCGCCUGGGGAGUGCGGCCGCAAGGUUGAAACUCAAAUGAAUUGACGGG